GAUACCCUAUUAUUUUAAAAGUAAUUUAAUAAAUCUAAUUAGUAAUAGUUAAGUUCUUGAAAAUUAAAGAAUUUGGCGGUAUUUUAGUCUAUUCAGAGGAAUCUGUCCUAUAAUUGAUAAUCCACGAUUUUUUGUACCUAAUUUAUUAAUUUACAUAUCGCCGUAGUUUGAAUAUUUUUUGAAAAUUAUAAUAUUCAUAAUUUAUUUUUAUAAAGAAAAUCAGGUCAAGGUGUAGUUUAUAGUUAGGAAGAGAUGGGUUACAGUAAAAGUAUUUAUUAUGGAUUAAUUAAUUAAAUUUUUUUAUGAAAGUGGAUUUGAAAGUAAUUUUAUUUA
This 333-nucleotide ribosomal RNA is filed under the name Laparocerus tafadensis. RNAcentral describes it as "partial 12S ribosomal RNA". Lineage: Eukaryota; Metazoa; Arthropoda; Insecta; Coleoptera; Curculionidae. The record is from RNAcentral.